CAAUAUCCAUCAUUGGAUCAUGCUGAGAUGAUAUCUCAGCCCUAUAAACUCUAUUUUUUAACCGUCAUUGUGGCAGUUCUUGGCGGUUUAUUGGCAUCGUCAGUUCACCCCACUCUCCUUUUUCUCCUCCUAAAUCCUUGCUGCUACAACCGCACCUCCAGUAGGUUAUUUUAUUGAUCCUCUCACCAAACCUUCCAUUCUCAUUCUCAUAUUUACAUUCUUUGAAUGUUCCCCCAAAUCCUUCCAACUUUACAAUCAAUUGGAGUCGAUUGGUAAACCCUACUACUUCAUUGCGAAGUAGUUAAUCAAACCUGCAAAUCCUCAGUGAUUCUGAACCAAUGUUAUUCAGCCGUCACUACAAUUUCUCAUUUUCUUCCUUCAUGGUGCUAUAUUACUUAUCUAUUUUCUCAUCUUCUCCGUUUAAUCUCUGCGAAUCAUCAGUCACUCACUGCUUGCAGCAAUUGGCGGUAUCACUUUGCCUGAAACGGAAUGGAUGUGGUGUACAAAGGGACUUCUUUGACGUACAAAGUGAUUGGGGGGUAUUUAUGAGUUUUACUUCUUUUUUGGGUCAUUCGUUCUUGCCAUGGUCGCCCUGUUUCUAUGCCCUACUCGGAAUUGGUUGUUGAGUCAUGUUUGCUGGAUGUUGCGAAACAUGAAAAGGAUAGAAUGAUCAGAUCUGGAAGGUACAGGUUAUGGUGAGUAGGAACCCAAGAGUGGAUAUUGAGAGUCUGAGUUCCGAAGGUAUGGGAUGUUGCAACUGGUGCAAGGUAGUACACUUUUGAAGGUCAUGAUGCUCCUCUUACUCUGAGCUUUUAAGGAUCUUGAAAAUUGCGAAUUCCACCACCAGCAUUCUCUAUCCUCAUGUCAUCGUGGAGGCGGCUGCGGUUGUGGAGGUGGAGGUGGUGGUGGGACUCCAUUUGGCGUUUUGAGUGCGUUGAACACUCUUAGUAAAAUAUGUGAGUAGAGAAGACUAUGGAGGUUAGCCAGGUUGGGUAGUGGGUCAAACGGUUGAAUAAAAAGAUAUAUCACUUUUUAGUAUGUGUCUCGAAGUCAAAACGGACCGAGAUAGGGUGUCAAAAAGGGUUGAGUUGAACUUGCUAACACCUUUGGCACAAUUGAAGGCGUUGAUCCAUGGUUUGAACAACCAUUAUUACUCGAUAGCCAAGUAUCAUCUUCAAAAAGUCAUAAUGAUAAUGUUGGGGUUCUUUCAAAUUAUGGUCCUGCCUUAAAAAGAAUGCAAUUCUUCAUUUGAAUCACACAUUUCUUCUCAGCGUAUCAAUCACUCUAUGUAUAUCAAUAGUUUGCUAAUUUAAAAUAGUGUAGAUAUAAGUCCACAAGACUCCAUCCUUUUGUAUGAUGCUGUGGAAGUUGGGCAUAUGAGACGUCAUACUCAAGAAGAUGUGGAAACUCGAUAUCAUUUUUACAUAGUAACUCACCAGGGAUUGAAAUUUAAAUAUGCUCAAGUGCUUCAAAACUGCAGGUACCACCUGUUAGUAUAAAAACAUCAUAUAUUUAAAGAUUGGGUAAUGUUUUAUCACUACAAAUCAAAGGUAUGCUUUUUAUCUGAUGGGUUUUGUUUAGAAUGCAAUUAUAUAUAGUGAUGCCAUUAUGACAUUAAAGCACCCGGCCACUGAUAAAAAAACAUUUUUUUACCGACUGAGUAUCACACAUUUUGACUCUUUUUAAAACAAAUAAUAUUGUUGUUAAAAAUGCAAAGAAAAAAAAUACUUGAACCCAUGUUUUUUCAAACUUUUAAUGCUACAAGGAAGCCAUUCACUUAUUAGAAGUCACAAGUCAUCACCAGAGGAUUUAAAUCAAAAAGGGUGUUACAUAAAUGGCAUCAUAAGCACCAAUACCACUCCUUUUUAGAUGUAAAAAAAGUGGUGACCUAUCAUUUUGAGUAGUUUAUGAAACCUUGGUGCUGGUAAAAGGAGUUGAGGCUACCUCUUCAACUCAUAUGUGAAGUGGAAUUGAAAAGUACAGUUGCAGAUGUAAGUAUGUUGUUUUCAAUACAUGGCAAAUUAUUAACUCAUUUUUUAUGAUAUUAUAUUGGUGUUUACUAACUUAGAUGAUAUUAGAAUUCAGCUGUUUAGUUUCGGGAUAAAAAAUAACCAUUAAAGGCAUGGUAAUAGGUCCAUACAUUUUUGACUGAAUACACAGACAUGAUUGGGCUUUGAAAUCAGUAACAUCAACAGGCAUGAUACAUGGCCCAGUUGUUGAUUUUAUAAGGAUGCCCAUGAAUGAAGAGGAGCUCAGUUGUUCGGAUCAUCCAACACCCCGCUGUAAUCAGUCGUGACCCAUUUAAGCAGUUCUUUUUUUUAAUGGUUUUGCAGUCCGUGAUUCCAUUUUAGCCAAUUGUUACGUUAGCGUGUCUGUUACCGUCUAAUAAAUCUACUUUUGUUAAGUGUUACGAAUGAAAGAGGUGGUGGUGAAUUUGUUUAUGAAAUUAUCUUGGUUAUUUUCUGUUUGAAUCCAGUCAUUUGUCACUGCUAACUCGAAUCUGGCAAUUCGAGAAGGUGAUCUUAGAUACCAAGUUUUAGUGUUGGUGACGAGUUUGUAUCCAGCAAAUAAUAUUGCAGCCCUGUUGUUUGUAGAGUGGUGACUUUAUGUAUCUCAUUUGUUAUUCGAAACAUAAAAUUUAAAGUGAGAUAUUUUCUAAGUUUGUAAUGGGAGUAGUUUUUAAUAUGUGUGUUAUUUUGGUAACUGGUCUAACUGGAUAAAUGGGUAUGGGUCAUGCUGAUUCGUUUAAAAGAUAUGAGCAUUUUAGUUUGUGUAAAAACGGGUUUCUUAAAAUGGAUAGGGUCGGAAUGGGUUUUGUGUAGACUUAUAAAAUAUGAUGGAAAGUUGCACUUUGCUUGUAGGCAUCCGAAUGAAUGGUUUGUGUGACAUUGGAUGCUCACGGAGUCACGGGUAACGACACAUGCUGAUCAGGGUGGUUCUUCGUGUAAAGGAAGGUUUAGCGUCCUCUUAAAGCUAUAACAGAUGAAAUUAUGUAAGAAUCGUCAACUGGUAAGCGAAAAUUUACUCUUAAAACACAAUGUUUAUCUUAUCUUUAAGCACUAUAGUUCUUAUUGAGAGUGUUAAUGAAUAAUCUUAGUUGAAAAGGAGAAGAAAAGAAGCAAAAUGUUGUGGUUCCAACCAUUAAUCGAUUGGCCUAAAGAAAAUAGGAGGAAUCCAGAUUAGAAAAUGGAUGAGAGUUUUAGAUAAUUUCUUCUUCAUACUUUCUUCAACCAAAAACAAUUGCCUUAUAAGCUACAAGAAUUUACGAAAUGCAUGAACAUGGGAACAUGGGAAACCACCCACUAACUUGGAAUAUAUAAAACCAGUAACCACUACUACUAACCUACUGCAUGAAAUAACUAGAAAUAAUAAUAUAAAUGAACGUGGGCAAUGCAUGUGAGAUGGUAUGGUGGCUGCAUGACAUGGCACAUAUCACAAGAAGUUCUUAGCAGUAGCAGUUUUCAAAAAGUCUUCUGUUUGACCGGGUCGAAGAAGUUCUGGAGUUUGUUAAAUCCAAAACUGGGUCGAAGACUUGGAAGAAUGUGGUUGGAGUUGUGGUGUUCGUGACAUUUUGGAGAUUGUGGAAAUGUAGAAACGGAAAACGACAACAACAUAACAAUAUUCCAGCCCCUAAAAUCGUUGAGUUGAUUAAGGAAGGUGCUAUCUUUUGGAUAAAGAAUAGAUCAAGGUUUGUUUCUUUGAGUUGGGAAAUGUGGAUUGAUUUUAAUGUAUGUAUUCUAUUAUAAAUUGUAACUUUUGCCCAA
This is a long non-coding RNA of Helianthus annuus (common sunflower), 3764 nucleotides long. RefSeq lists it as uncharacterized. The transcript has 9 exons. The record is from RefSeq and is a predicted model, not a curated record. Lineage: Eukaryota; Viridiplantae; Streptophyta; Magnoliopsida; Asterales; Asteraceae.